UUUAAAUACGCAUGUGCACAUGUAUUAUAAUAAUCAGUUUCAGUUUGCCAAGUUCCACCUGCAACCUUUCUUGACUCAUUCAUUCAUGGAGGAAAUGAAUAUUAACUGAAGAGAAAUUUUAUUAAUGAUUGACACUUAAGUCAUGGAUAAAAGUUAAACAACAAUAAAUUACAAGAAAUCAAAGUAUUAAAAGAAUGACUUUAAAAUGUUUCUAAAUGAAAGAAAUUUAAUACAUUUUGUAUCUUCCUUCAUUAUUUAAUUUAUUCUGGUGCUACCAUAAUCAUUUCUAUAAAUAAUACACUGUACAUUUUAUUUUAUUUUUUGAUGUAUUUAUGAAGAGAUAUCCUAAAGAAAUGGUUCAAAUACAUUGGACUAUGCAUUCAUGUAUCAAACGCUUAUGGGAAAGAUUGAAAUUCUAUGGUUAUUUGAUAAAAUUAACUUUCGUAACUUUAUGUUAUAAUGAAUUUGCUGAUAAAUUUUAUGUUGGAGAUACGUGUAUGGAGCCGAUGUUUUGGUUUGUUGACCAUUUUACAAAGGCAAUGGGACCAAUAUUUGUUGUGGGAGUAAUCAUUUUAACUUUAUCUAUGAUUAUCAUUGCAUAUACAAUUGGUUUAUCAUUCUGGUGGCAAACUAGUAUCCCAUUUACUAUUCUAUUAUUGAUAGUGGGAAAUUGGCUUCUUGUUAAUGUCAUCUUCCAUUAUUAUAUGGCAUUUAUCACUUUACCAGGCUAUCCUCCUGAGGGAGCUUUGGUGCCAGAAGCUGUAUCAAUAUGUAAACGUUGUAUUUCGCCCAAACCACCUCGUACUCAUCAUUGUAGUGUUUGCAAUCGUUGCAUUCUUAAAAUGGAUCAUCACUGUCCAUGGUUGAACAAUUGCAUUGGAUAUUAUAACCAUAGAUAUUUUUUCAUGUAUUGUGUUUAUAUCUGGUUGAGUGUUUCUUUUGUCUUAUUGUUUGGUAUUCCUAUUGCAUAUGUGCAUUUUUUUGUUGAAGUGAGAACUCAACCAUUAAAUACCACCAUUGUUAUUCCUGAGAACAAAACCCAUCAACUUUCCACUUAUGUCAAGUCAAAAUCAGAAAAAUCUGAUUUAGAAACUUUUAUCAAAGAAAAGUAUUCAACGUCUAUUACCUCUACGACAGUCAAUAAUCGUUCUUUCGUUGAUUACCUAUAUCAUGCCUGUCUUGUUUAUGCAGCUUUAUUGUGCCUUGGUGUGUUUCUGGCAAUUGGAGCACUCACAAUGUGGCAUGCUCGGCUAAUAACUCGUGGAGAGACUAGUGUUGAAGCCCAUAUCAAUAAAAAGGAAAGAGAAAGAUUAGCAAAAGAAGGAAAGACAUAUAAAAAUCCUUACAAUUUUGGACCAAGGAAAAACUGGAUUAUAUUUUUAGGACUGACAAAUGGGAGGGAUUUACGACAUGUGUUAUUUCCAUCCCGACACAAACCAGAUGGAGACGGUCUGCGCUGGCACACGCGAAACGAAAUAAAAAUUAUCGAUGAUUGGAAUGUUAUCAUUGAUAGUGCCAAAGAGAAAUGAUCAUUUUUCUACUUAAAGAAUUUAUUGUCAUAGGAUUUAAUUUAUUUUCAAAAUUUUGGCCAUGAGAAUGUGCUGUGCUGUAAGUUUUUUUUUUGUGGAGGAUCUUGUAAAUAUUUUAAGUAUUUCAUAAAAUGCAGAAUUUAUUUCUGAUUCAUCUUAGACCUAACCACUCUCAUUAAAUUUCUCUCUUUAAAAUAUGAGUGAGUUAUUUUUCAUAGAACAACUUAUUACUUUACAUGACAACCAAAACAAAUCAAAGAAUAAAGAAACAAAUACAUAUACACAGAACUUAUGUGCAGAUGUUCAUGACAUGCAAGUGUAUGAGGACUGGGAAAUUGUUUAUUAAUGAAAAUAGUAAUUGAAAAGCUGAUGUAGAGUGCUAAUCUUUGUAUUCCUCUAAAACUUUUAAAAAUCCAUAAUUAUGAAUAGUUACUACAAACAGUUUUUAGAUGGUUUGUUUGUAUUACUUGGCACAAGAGCCAUGUAGGCUAUGCUGCAUAAAGGAUAAAUGACAAAUACAUAGCCUAAAAGUUUAACAAUGGCAUUUGGUUCCACUGACAUUCCAACUGGAAUUUUUUACACUACCUCUGAACCAGUUGGAUAAGUGAAAACUAUUAAUUCCUUGAAAAGAUUGACAACUCACAAGAAAAUUGUAUGUGAUUUGCAUUUUGAUUAAAGAUUUCUUAUUAAGAAUUAAGUUCAUAUAAUUGAGGGUAAAACAGUUGAGAUUCCCCGUGGAAAAUGGCAACUAACACGAGAUGCUUAUCGUUCGAGUUUUCCCAAUUGCCCAUCAUAUUUGCCAUUUAAAAGUUCCUAAAUUACUGCAGUCUCCAAGAAAAAGGAAAACUACUGCCAACAUAAAUAAUAAUUCAAAAGUUGCAACAAUAUCAAGUAAAAUGACCUUUUAGUAAUGUUUAAAAACGUUAAUAAGUUAUUUGCUUUUUAAAAUAACUAGCCGAUGGUGCAAUUGAAGAUCCAUCAAAUUCACCUUAUGAUGUAUUAUCAUCACCACUAUGUAUAGCAUGUUAUAGAAAUAGCAUAAAUAAGUUUGUUUGUUUGUUUUAAGUUAUGGCAACGCAACACUUUGGCGAACACUUCUGCCUAGGG
Molecule: unclassified non-coding RNA, 2636 nt
Filed under: Centruroides sculpturatus (bark scorpion)
Lineage: Eukaryota; Metazoa; Arthropoda; Arachnida; Scorpiones; Buthidae
Description: palmitoyltransferase ZDHHC16-like, transcript variant X2
Source: RNAcentral